This 310-nucleotide ribosomal RNA is filed under the name uncultured bacterium. Its description in RNAcentral is "bacterial SSU rRNA". It matches the Rfam family "Bacterial small subunit ribosomal RNA", at positions 28 to 334 of the family's 1533-position model. The record is from RNAcentral.
GACGAACGCUGGCGGCGCGCCUAACACAUGCAAGUCGAACGAGCGAGAGAGAGUUUGCUUUCUCGAGCGAGUGGCGAACGGGUGAGUAACGCGUGAGGAACCUGCCUCAAAGAGGGGGACAACAGUUGGAAAUGACUGCUAAUACCGCAUAAGCGCACAGUGCUGCAUGGCACAGUGUGAAAAAACUCCGGUGGUAUGAGAUGGACCCGCGUCUGAUUAGCUAGUUGGUGGGGUAACGGCCUACCAAGGCGACGAUCAGUAGCCGGCCUGAGAGGGUGAACGGCCACAUUGGGACUGAGACACGGCCCAA